This 468-nucleotide ribosomal RNA is filed under the name uncultured bacterium. RNAcentral describes it as "partial 16S ribosomal RNA". It matches the Rfam family "Bacterial small subunit ribosomal RNA", at positions 28 to 507 of the family's 1533-position model. The record is from RNAcentral.
GACGAACGCUGGCGGCGUGCUUAACACAUGCAAGUCGAACGGAAAGGCCCUGCUUUUGUGGGGUGCUCGAGUGGCGAACGGGUGAGUAACACGUGAGUAACCUGCCCUUGACUUUGAGAUAACUUCAGGAAACUGGGGCUAAUACCGGAUAGGAGCUCCUGCUGCAUGGUGGGGGUUGGAAAGUUUCGGCGGUUGGGGAUGGACUCGCGGCUUAUCAGCUUGUUGGCGGGGUAGUGGCUUACCAAGGCUUUGACGGGUAGCCGGCCUGAGAGGGUGACCGGCCACAUUGGGACUGAGAUACGGCCCAGACUCCUACGGGAGGCAGCAGUGGGGAAUAUUGCACAAUGGGCGGAAGCCUGAUGCAGCAACGCCGCGUGCGGGAUGACGGCCUUCGGGUUGUAAACCGCUUUCGCCUGUGACGAAGCGUGAGUGACGGUAAUGGGUAAAGAAGCACCGGCUAACUACGUG